GAGCAGGAAGGAGGGAAGGAGGGAGUCAACAGCCCAGAGCCCAGCCGACUGAUGGAGCAGGAAGGAGGGAAGGAGGGAGUCAACAGCCCAGAGCCACUGACUGGAGCAGGAAGGAGGGAAGGAGGGAGUCAACAGCCCAGAGCCCAGCCGACUGAUGGAGCAGGAAGGAGGGAAGGAGGGAGUCAACAGCCCAGAGCCCAGCCGACUGAUGGAGCAGGAAGGAGGGAAGGAGGGAGUCAACAGCCCAGAGCCCAGCCGACUGAUGGAGCAGGGAAGGAGGGAAGGAGGGAGUCAACAGCCCAGAGCCCAGCCGACUGACGGUGCAGGAAGGAGGGAAGGAGGGAGUCAACAGCCCAGAGCCCAGCCGACUGACGGAGCAGGAAGGAGGGAAGGAGGGAGUCAACAGCCCAGAGCCCAGCCGACUGAUGGAGCAGAGAAGGAGGGAAGGAGAGAGUCAACAGCCCAGAGCCCAGCCGACUGAUGGAGCAGGAAGGAGGGAAGGAGAGAGUCAACAGCCCAGAGCCCAGCCGACUGAUGGAGCAGGAAGGAGGGAAGGAGAGAGUCAACAGCCCAGAGCCCAGCCGACUGAUGGAGCAGGAAGGAGGGAAGGAGAGAGUCAACAGCCCAGAGCCCAGCCGACUGAUGGAGCAGAGAAGGAGGAAGGAGAGAAGUCAACAGCCCAGAGCCCAGCCGACUGAUGGAGCAGAGAAGGAGGGAAGGAGAGAGUCAACAGCCCAGAGCCCAGCCGACUGAUGGAGCAGGAAGGAGGGAAGGAGGAAGUCAACAGCCCAGAGCCCAGCCGACUGAUGGAGCAGAGAAGGAGGGAAGGAGAGAGUCAACAGCCCAGAGCCCAGCCGACUGAUGGAGCAGGAAGGAGGGAAGGAGAGAGUCAACAGCCCAGAGCCCAGCCGACUGAUGGAGCAGAGAAGGAGGGAGUCAACAGCCCAGA
Oncorhynchus tshawytscha (Chinook salmon) is the source of this 949-nucleotide long non-coding RNA. The record is from Ensembl. NCBI's taxonomy places the organism in Eukaryota, Metazoa, Chordata, Actinopteri, Salmoniformes, Salmonidae.